Molecule: small RNA, 28 nt
Filed under: Bombyx mori (domestic silkworm)
Lineage: Eukaryota; Metazoa; Arthropoda; Insecta; Lepidoptera; Bombycidae
Description: ovarian small RNA-2343
Source: RNAcentral
UUAUACAAUUGAUUACGCCUACUAAGAC